UACGUAGGGUGCGAGCGUUAAUCGGAAUUACUGGGCGUAAAGCGUGCGCAGGCGGUUUUGUAAGCCAGAUGUGAAAUCCCCGGGCUCAACCUGGGAAUGGCAUUUGGGACUGCAAGGCUCGAGUGCGGCAGAGGAGACUGGAAUUCCCGGUGUAGAGGUGAAAUUCGUAGAUAUCGGGAGGAACACCGGUGGCGAAGGCGGCGACCUGGUUCGAUACUGACACUGAGGUGCGAAAGCGUGGGGAGCAAACAGG
Molecule: ribosomal RNA, 253 nt
Filed under: uncultured bacterium
Lineage: Bacteria
Description: partial 16S ribosomal RNA
Rfam family: Bacterial small subunit ribosomal RNA
Source: RNAcentral